Molecule: ribosomal RNA, 301 nt
Filed under: uncultured bacterium
Lineage: Bacteria
Description: partial 16S ribosomal RNA
Rfam family: Bacterial small subunit ribosomal RNA
Source: RNAcentral
CAGUAGCCGCGGUAAUACAGAGGGUGCGAGCGUUAGUCGGAUUUACUGGGCGUAAAGCGUGCGUAGGCGGCUUCUUAAGUCGGAUGUGAAAUCCCUGAGCUUAACUUAGGAAUUGCAUUCGAUACUGGGAAGCUAGAGUAUGGGAGAGGAUGGUAGAAUUCCAGGUGUAGCGGUGAAAUGCGUAGAGAUCUGGAGGAAUACCGAUGGCGAAGGCAGCCAUCUGGCCUAAUACUGACGCUGAGGUACGAAAGCAUGGGGAGCAAACAGGAUUAGAUACCCUCGUAGUCCCUGUCUCUUAUAC